RNAcentral lists this ribosomal RNA (510 nucleotides) under Triticum aestivum (bread wheat). RNAcentral's name for it is "partial small subunit ribosomal RNA". Lineage: Eukaryota; Viridiplantae; Streptophyta; Magnoliopsida; Poales; Poaceae. The record is from RNAcentral.
AUGAAGCACGCAUCCAGGAGACCUGCUUCACCUCCAAUGAUCCACCUCUACCUCACACACAUCAUGGCUCCUCCUUGGCUGGUGUGCGUGAGUUCUUCCUUGGCAUGCCCCGGAGUAAGAAGACAGCAGAUAAAAACCGCGAAUGGCCCCUGGCCGGCAGCGCCGCCUCCACGAGGACCAGCCUGCUGCUUCACCUGUCCCCGCCUCAUCCAUCUUCCCUCUUCCAUUGAGCCUCCUAUCCCCGCCUCUUCCCUCUUGGAGCCUCACCCGCGACGGGCCGACAACUGCUUGUCAUGUCCGCCUGCCUCCAGUGCCCCUUCGCCCCACCACCAGGCCUUACUUGCGCCAGAUCUGGAUCCAGGCACCGCCGAUGACCGGAUAAACAACGGAGAGAGGGAAGUUGAGGUGGGGAAUAAGCAAUGGUGGUGGAGGAGGAGUAGGCGAUGCCGAGGCCCUGGUGACAAGCGGGGAGGAGGGAGGGGCAGUGGAUCGAGGGGAAAGUGGGAGCUA